This is a long non-coding RNA of Oncorhynchus tshawytscha (Chinook salmon), 580 nucleotides long. RefSeq lists it as uncharacterized. The transcript has 4 exons. The record is from RefSeq and is a predicted model, not a curated record. NCBI's taxonomy places the organism in Eukaryota, Metazoa, Chordata, Actinopteri, Salmoniformes, Salmonidae.
CCAACCUAAGUGUAUGAAGACUUCCCGACUUCAACUGUAUAUUAUACAUUGUUUUCUUGGGUUUAGAACUUUAUUUUUGUGUCCAGUUAGUGCAAUUUAUUUAAAUGUGCCUUGCUAACUUCAGUAGCUAGCUAGCUACCAGUGUGAGACGGCAUUUUUCUCCGCCAGAAUGGUAGAAUGGCCAACGCUGCCGAACAUGUUGUGGACCUUUUGUUGAAGAACCCCCUUUCAUUCUUUGGGGUACACGGAAAAGCCAAGUCCCCUCCUGUUCCCUGACUGAGAGUUGAUGACUACUCCACUCCACUACCAUUGUCAACUUUCUCCUGACAUGAACUAAAGCCAUGACGUCUCAUGUGCCCUCUCAUCCACUGGCACAUUGAGUGUUUCCCUUCAAAGCACUUAAAAUCCUGUCCUGCAUUGGACAAGCCUCUGAACAUCUAAACUCCUGCCUCAUGCCCUCAUUCAAUCACUGCUAUGAUCCUUUUCCAACACUGUCCAAUUGAGGAUUUUAUCUCCACAUGGAGGUGGAAGGUAUAUGAUAGGCGCCCUCACGAACAAGCCGCCCUUCUCCAGGCCAUGG